CGAUAACGAACGAAGACCUUAACCUGCUAAAUAGCCAGGCUAGCUUUGGCUGGUCGCCGGCUUCUUAGAGGGACUAUCGGCUCAAGCCGAUGGAAGUUUGAGGCAAUAACAGGUCUGUGAUGCCCUUAGAUGUUCUGGGCCGCACGCGCGCUACACUGACAGAGCCAACGAGUUCUUCACCUUGACCGAAGGUCUGGGUAAUCUUGUUAAACUCUGUCGUGCUGGGGAUAGAGCAUUGCAAUG
RNAcentral lists this ribosomal RNA (243 nucleotides) under uncultured fungus. RNAcentral describes it as "partial small subunit ribosomal RNA". It matches the Rfam family "Eukaryotic small subunit ribosomal RNA", at positions 1326 to 1591 of the family's 1831-position model. Lineage: Eukaryota; Fungi. The record is from RNAcentral.